ACGGAGGGUGCAAGCGUUAAUCGGAAUUACUGGGCGUAAAGCGCGCGUAGGCGGUUUAGUAAGUCGGAUGUGAAAGCCCAGGGCUUAACCUUGGAACUGCAUUCGAUACUGCUUGACUAGAGUAUGGUAGAGGGAAGUGGAAUUUCCGGUGUAGCGGUGAAAUGCGUAGAUAUCGGAAGGAACACCAGUGGCGAAGGCGACUUCCUGGGCCAAUACUGACGCUGAGGUGCGAAAGCGUGGGGAGCAAACAGG
Molecule: ribosomal RNA, 252 nt
Filed under: uncultured bacterium
Lineage: Bacteria
Description: partial 16S ribosomal RNA
Rfam family: Bacterial small subunit ribosomal RNA
Source: RNAcentral